This is a long non-coding RNA of Brachypodium distachyon (stiff brome), 799 nucleotides long. RefSeq lists it as uncharacterized. The transcript is spliced from 2 exons. The record is from RefSeq and is a predicted model, not a curated record. Lineage: Eukaryota; Viridiplantae; Streptophyta; Magnoliopsida; Poales; Poaceae.
GACCGCUUCUUCCCUUCUUCCCUGCCCCCCGUCCUUCCCUGCCCGGCGGCGUGGGGUCGGCGUUGUCGCGGCCGCACCACCUCGACGGCGACGGUGCGAGCGAGGCAGGGCGCGCUGGCGCGGCCCUCGAAGCUUGCCACCGGGGGUCGUCUCCGGCUUGACCUCCGUUGCCUCAACUCCUCCCGCUCCGGCUCGCUCCGCAAGGUGGCAGCCGAGACGGCGGAUGCCGGGGCACGCGUCUUCUCCGAUGAGUUCCGGGCGAGGGGGCGGGCGAUGGAGCUGCCAUGCGGACCGACGCUCGGCUCGUACAUCACCGUGGACGCGAUAUGUUUCGAGGCGAAGGCAGCGGAGAUUUGCUCGCUCCCGUCCGGCGAAUAGGUGAAGACAACAAGGGCAAGGUCAUCUCCAUCCUUCCGUGGUGACUGGUGAGGUAUCUCUUCGCCCGUGCGGUGAGUUGGCUCGCCUAUUCUAUUUUCAUUCGGGGAUUUGUAUCAUAUACUCUGACGAAAUCAGCAUUUCCUGAGAUGGAUAUGGAUGCAUCUAGGUGACAAUCUGUAAUUGAUGUAGGUGUAGCCUUGCAUGCUACAAACUGACUGUAAUUUUAUUUGCUGUGUUCUGGAACAGAUUAUUUGGUAGUCAGCUUUUGUGCAUUCUGUUGUCUGUACUAGUGUGCAUAGUUCGCAACAUAUAGCAUUAGCAGUCAAGUUACUUGAUCAAGGUAUGCUCACAAUAUAACUGUGUGGGCUCCUGUACAACAUAUUUGGAAACCAGAUGGGACUCUGAAUGUGCAUGCUUUAAA